ACACACACACACACACACACACACACACACACACACACACACACACACACACGCAAUGCUGCCGCUGCCACCGCGGCACCUACCAGGCGGGCAGCCUCGGCCCAGGUAGCUGCAUCAUGUACGUAACAUGAACUUCUGUUACUCACGAGACCUCUGGUGUUGCAGCAGUGGUGUUGGACAGAAAAGGACAUUUGUUGGGAAAAGAAGUUCAGUGAGCCCCUAAAGCUAAUCUGGCUUUGUGGAUUUUUUGGUUGGUUUGGUUGGUUUCUAGUAUUGUCUGCUGCACUCAGGAUUAGACUUUCUUUUGGUAUUUCUGUGGACCCCUGGAAUAAUCUUUUUAGUUCUAUAUCCUUUCUAUUACAAUGGUGAAGAAACAA
Molecule: long non-coding RNA, 377 nt
Organism: Corvus hawaiiensis (hawaiian crow)
Lineage: Eukaryota; Metazoa; Chordata; Aves; Passeriformes; Corvidae
Exons: 2
Source: RefSeq, a predicted model, not a curated record